RNAcentral lists this transfer RNA (59 nucleotides) under Pirkimerus japonicus. RNAcentral's name for it is "tRNA-His". The record is from RNAcentral. Lineage: Eukaryota; Metazoa; Arthropoda; Insecta; Hemiptera; Blissidae.
AUUUAGAUAUUCUAUUAGGAUAGUAAUUUGUGGUGUUACUGGUGAAUAUUCUCUAAAUU